UAAAGAUUUUUACAUUUUCCCUCAACAAUAGUUAAUUAAGGGUAAACAUUUUGGUCUUAUUGUAAUCCCCAUGCAAAGCUCCCAAAUUGAUUGUUCUCCCCACUUUGUCUACCUUUCCGCCACCGAGGUAAGAAAUUCCCGAGAUCUGGAAUUAUCGUUUUUGUUUCGUUGUGUUUAGCAAACUACAUGUGUUUGAGAGUUUAUAAAGUUGUUUUUGUAAGACCAAAGUCAUCUUCAUUUUCCGCUAUUAAUAUAACGUCGUCAGUACGGCAUAAAAUAUUAAUCACACCUCUACAUGUUACAUCCUUUCAUCUCCUUGACUCUUUGCAUGACUUCUUCCAUUAUUAAAGCCAAGAAUCAUUUUAUUUUAAGACCUUGUUGCCUGAAAUUUGAAAGACUCGUGAUUGUCUUGAUGAAGUCUAAUGUGGUAGACGUAUUACUAGUGAGGGAUCUGAUUUCAAGAAGCGAUCCAUUAGUAUCAAAGUUCCCCUUGUUUGUUUAUAAUUUCAAGAGAAUGUUUAGAAAAUCAGAUGUGGCAGUCGGAGUUUUGUUCGAAUGAUUUUUCUGUCCCCUCGCAGAGAAAGCUGUGAUCUUUAAAAUAUGAUGCAAAGUUUAUCAAGAAUGUCGUAAUGCUACAAUUGUGCGGUCAUAUAAAGCAAUUUCCUUUCUAACAUACAGUGUUAGGUAAUCGUGGAACUCUUGUAAGUGCGAGAUGCGCAGGAAUUAAGAGUUCUCCAAGGGUGGCCUGCGAUGUGGGUGGUGGAAUGUGCCGUUGCUGGGCGGAACCGCGUCUUUGUUUACAUUAUAGCUCCCAAGCGGAGAAAUUCUUAAUUUGUUCGAUUGUCGAUAGGUGAGGAGUUCCAAUGGUAUCGAUUUUGGGAGGUGAUUGCGCAAACAGUAAGCAACAGCGGAAAAACUGCCGUAAAUAAGUUAGCACAAACCUUUGGGAGUUUGGCAGUUUUGAAGACACAGCUCACGAAGACAGAUUCCUUCUCGGUUAAGAAUUGUGAUAAAUGGUCGGUUGAAACAGGUUUGGACGAGAAAGAGGUUUACUGUGUCUGUGGGUAGAUUGUUUGAUGGUUGUCGGGUCAAGGUAGUGCCCAAAGUUCUACCUGCCUCGGAUCAUUCAAUAAGACCACAAGUGAUUCACUAGGGCGAAAUGAUUAAAUGUUUUUUACACAACUUAAUGGGAUUGAGGGAGGUUUUGUAACACUAUCUGCAAGUCUAAUCAAGCUUUUCAGAUUUCGGGGGUAAUUACAAUCGCUCGGUUAACAAUGGCCGCUUGAGGAAAUUGAUCUUCUGGAGUCGACACUUCCGGUGUCACGUGACUGGAACAUGAAGGGUUUCUUUCCUCGCAUUCCGGUACAUUCCGGAUGUCGUCCAUUCGACGCAAUAAAGCCGCAUUUCAGUUUAUACUUGAUGAUAAAAAAAGUGGAUACUCGCUUCGCUGCUUUUAUUUACUGUGCAAAACACAAUAGUUAUGGUUCGUGCAGCCGUCAAUAAGCACUUUUCACAGAACUUGCAAAAAUUUUUCAACAAGCGGCUAAUUAGCAGCAUUUACAAGAGACAAGUGGCAUUCACGGUCUGCAUCGGUUUUCUGUUAGCCUAAAUAGAAAAUGUUGAAACGAAUUCAAGGCUCGAUUUACAUAACUUGAGGUGGCGCAACGUUCCAGCGAUCAUUCUUUUAGGAAGAUUCGGGUAAUUCGAAUCAGGUGGGAGGACAUUCAACCGGGAGGAUAAUCAGCGAGCGACUUAUCGCCGGUUUUAUGACGGCGAUAAAAGCGUUAUUAAAAUUGCAUCGAAUCCAAUUUAUUUAAAUUAGAGGACGCAGUCGAUCACAAUUAAAAAAUUAAUGAAUCUGGGACGAGUCGAUGAUUGUUUGGAAUAGGGACACACGCACAUUUGGACAUUCACACCCUGCUGGAUGGACGUGUAUAACUUUCUCAAUAUAGACGAUCCCCACGCAAUCCCACUAGGUAAACUUUCCACAUUUCCUGGCCUCCGAAAUCCGGAAACUUUAAUGAAAUACCAUUAUAUACAACAUUAUCCAGUUUCGGACGUCCAUGAUGAAAUGGGGAUUAGGCAAUGCUGGGCCAUUGUGUAUCCGUCACUUUAUACUUUAUAAUGCCACUUUAUUCUGCCCUUUGCCGCCGAAUUGCCCUAAUUACACCACGAAUUUAAUUAAAUCCUGCUCGGACGGAGAGAAAAUUUUACGGCGACUGGGGGGAAUUCGUCUUCGGACCAAAUUCGAUUCAGUCGGGCCUUUGAUGACUGGCACAUUUUUAAUACGACGGGUAUCUGAGAAACGGAAAUUGGACACAACCCUCCAAUUAAUUUAUUCAGGUCCCUUGGAAACGUCGAAUGAAUACUAGGCUCAACUUGUUUACAUAAACCGAGCCGGAGAAUUCAAUCUUUUCCAAAGCGAUAGUUUUAGACACGAAAAGAUGGCCAGAAAGGAUUUUCUUGAUGCUCUGUCGUCCAUCACAAUGAUAAACUCUUGUAUAACAGUUUACGGAUGUAUUUUUCAAUACAUUAUUCAACAAGUUUUUAUUGUUCAAAAUGAAUGAUUUCUAAACAUAUUAAUAUUCAUUUUUGUUUCACUUAUUGUUAAUUAUGACGCAAGCGGUUAAAAUAUAAAUUGGUACACUUUAGCUAGCUAACCGCAACUGUUAUUCCAAAACAAAAAUACGUAACAUUCGACACCUGAGUUAUUAUAAAAUGCAGUACAGAGAAAAAGGCAGAUUGGACUUUCAAAGUUUCCUCCUCUUCAGAAUCGAUGUGCCAAUUUGUUCUAUUCUUUCUCCUUAUGACAGGGAGAUAAAAGAUAUUUGAGGGCACAGACAAGUCAGUGGAUUUAUCGUGCACUGCUCUAUUUGAACUUUGCUCGUCUGAAAAUACUGAAAAGCUUUGCCAGCCAGUAAUUUGAGUAGUAGUAAAAGUUUUUUGCCUGAAAUGUUGAGUUAACGAUAGUAUGGAUUGUUAGAAAGUUCCUUAGGGAUUAAACUGGUUUUCUUGAAGGUCUUUAAAUCAGCAAUUAGCUAUGUUACGAUUGAAAAAGUAAUUGUAAUAACUAAAAACAUAGAUCUGAAACGGUGGUACGUGAGUUUAGAUUUAGAUUAAAUUCAGUGCAAAGUUAACAAAAUGUACUAUAACUUGCUUAAGCGGUUGUAAUUUUUCUUCUAUAAAACCACGACGAAGUAUUUAUAUUUAUCUAAAAUAACAUUUUUGGAACAACUUUCACGAAUGGUUUACCUAC
Molecule: long non-coding RNA, 3256 nt
Organism: Tribolium castaneum (red flour beetle)
Lineage: Eukaryota; Metazoa; Arthropoda; Insecta; Coleoptera; Tenebrionidae
Exons: 3
Source: RefSeq, a predicted model, not a curated record